RNAcentral lists this ribosomal RNA (402 nucleotides) under uncultured Helicobacter sp. RNAcentral describes it as "bacterial SSU rRNA". It matches the Rfam family "Bacterial small subunit ribosomal RNA", at positions 65 to 495 of the family's 1533-position model. Lineage: Bacteria; Pseudomonadati; Campylobacterota; Epsilonproteobacteria; Campylobacterales; Helicobacteraceae. The record is from RNAcentral.
UACGAAGGGAAAAGUCUAGCUUGCUAGAAGUGGAUUAGUGGCGCACGGGUGAGUAAUGCAUAGGUUAUGUGCCCCAUAGUCUGGGAUAGCCACUGGAAACGGUGAUUAAUACCGGAUACUCCUUACGAGGGAAAGUUUUUCGCUAUGGGAUCAGCCUAUGUCCUAUCAGCUUGUUGGUGAGGUAAUGGCUCACCAAGGCUAUGACGGGUAUCCGGCCUGAGAGGGUGAACGGACACACUGGAACUGAGACACGGUCCAGACUCCUACGGGAGGCAGCAGUAGGGAAUAUUGCUCAAUGGGCGAAAGCCUGAAGCAGCAACGCCGCGUGGAGGAUGAAGGUUUUAGGAUUGUAAACUCCUUUUGUUAGAGAAGAUUAUGACGGUAUCUCAGAAAUUAAGCACA